Non-coding RNA from Streptomyces sp. WM6378, 95 nucleotides. NCBI's taxonomy places the organism in Bacteria, Bacillati, Actinomycetota, Actinomycetes, Kitasatosporales, Streptomycetaceae. The record is from Rfam.
AAACGCCCGGUUACAUUCCGAACCCGGAAGCUAAGCCUUUCAGCGCCGAUGGUACUGCAGGGGGGACCCUGUGGGAGAGUAGGACGCCGCCGAAC